UAUAAGAUCCCUCAAAGAUGAUGAGGUUAAUAGGUUCGAGGUGGAAGCGUAGUGAUACGUGGAGCUGACGAAUACUAAUCGAUCGAAGACUUAAUCAAUUU
This 101-nucleotide ribosomal RNA is filed under the name Staphylococcus chromogenes. Its description in RNAcentral is "partial 23S ribosomal RNA". It matches the Rfam family "Bacterial large subunit ribosomal RNA", at positions 2827 to 2925 of the family's 2925-position model. Lineage: Bacteria; Bacillati; Bacillota; Bacilli; Caryophanales; Staphylococcaceae. The record is from RNAcentral.